Molecule: ribosomal RNA, 461 nt
Filed under: uncultured bacterium
Lineage: Bacteria
Description: bacterial SSU rRNA
Rfam family: Bacterial small subunit ribosomal RNA
Source: RNAcentral
CAAGCGGUGGAUGAUGUGGAUUAAUUCGAUGCAACGCGAAAAACCUUACCUACCCUUGACAUGUCAGGAACCUCCGAAAAAUUGGAGGGUGCUCGAAAGAAAACCUGAACACAGGUGCUGCAUGGCUGUCGUCAGCUCGUGUCGUGAGAUGUUGGGUUAAGUCCCGCAACGAGCGCAACCCUUGUCAUUAGUUGCUACAAAAGGGCACUCUAAUGAGACUGCCGGUGACAAACCGGAGGAAGGUGGGGAUGACGUCAAGUCCUCAUGGCCCUUAUGGGUAGGGCUUCACACGUCAUACAAUGGUACAUACAGAGGGCCGCCAACCCGCGAGGGGGAGCUAAUCCCAAAAAGUGUAUCGUAGUCCGGAUCGCAAUCUGCAACUCGACUGCGUGAAGUUGGAAUCGCUAGUAAUCGCGGAUCAGCAUGUCGCGGUGAAUACGUUCCCGGGUCUUGUACACACC